AUUCCAGCUCCAAUAGCGUAUAUUAAAGUUGUUGUGGUUAAAAAGCUCGUAGUUGGAUUUCGGCGGGUAGUGGUUGGUUUGAAUUGAUUCAACACUGACUUUUUUACCCGUGUGUUUUGCCAGAAUCUUACGGGUGAUCUUUACCGAUUGUCCGUUGGAACUGGCAGGUUUACUUUGAAAAAAUUAGAGUGCUCAAAGCAAGCUUACUGCUUGAAUAGUUGCGCAUGGAAUAAUAGAAUAGGAAGUCGUUUCUAUUUUGUUGGUUUUCGGAAAUCGACUUAAUGAUUAAUAGGGAUAGUCGGGGGCAUUCGUAUUCAAACGACAGAGGUGAAAUUCUUGGACCGUUUGAAGACGAACUAAGGCGAAAGCAUUUGCCAAGAAUGUUUUCAUCA
Molecule: ribosomal RNA, 392 nt
Filed under: Centropages sp.
Lineage: Eukaryota; Metazoa; Arthropoda; Copepoda; Calanoida; Centropagidae
Description: partial small subunit ribosomal RNA
Rfam family: Eukaryotic small subunit ribosomal RNA
Source: RNAcentral